AUUUUAUCCUUUAAAGGGGAAUAAGAAUGGGCUGGGAGAUCUAUAGUACCAUAUAGAGCCAUAACAUUAAUUCACUGUGCUGCAGCCCCACAUCAGGAAGUGACCAUGUGUGACACUUAGUGCUGGGUGGGUGUUGGAGGAGGAGUAAAAGGCGCCAAAUGGAACACUAGGACUGUGGGAAAUGACACUGUCUGUGACACCUCUGACUCUUACCCCACAUUUACCUCAGCUCAUCUGCAAGGGUGGGGGGCAUCUCUUUUUAAAUUACACAAUGAUUAAUGCACAAGGAAAUGAUAAAUGCAUGUAAUAUGUGCCACCCACAAAUAAAAGUCCCCACAUUUGCAACUCUAUAGCCUAACUUUAUGAGGAACUUCCAAAGCAAAAUCCCUAAAUUGGUAGGUCAGCAAUUAACAUUGCCUCUUGUAGUUACAGCCUUUCAGCACUGAACAGCAGAAGGAAAUGCUCAUGGUUAUUAUUUUCUCCACCCAGAUUAUCCCUGAGAUUCCCCAGAAGAGCAGAAAAGCGGAGAUUUACUUGAACCGACUGAGACAAAUGCACAAUCUUUGCUUAAGCAAUAUGGCUUUCUCCCAAAGGUUGGUAAUUCAGUAAACAGGAUGAAACGUAAAGAAAACAAUGCACUGACAUAGAGAAUUUAGGUCCUUUCUAUGACUUCAGAUUUAAUUCAGAACUAAAGAGCAGACAGGAGAUCAGAGGUGUAUUGAAGAAGUCUUUCAACUGUUCUUUAAACUGAGUGAGGUUUGUUUUUCUCUGCUUGCUGCGAACUCUGGUCCAGACUCCUGGACAGAAAGACAGACUCAGUGUGUUGGCAGGAGGAGCAAGGCAUCCAAGAUUCGGAGCUUUCAGUCACUGGCUCCAAACAAGGGCAGAGGAGUCAAACCAAACAGCUUCCUCUCAGCUCUAUGAAACAGACACAAAGUGUCCAAACUGACCAACCUUCAAGUCCCCGACUGCUGAGCAGACUGACCUCAACCAGGUCUCUUCUUACCAGCCAGUGCUGUGCUGACACUCUGGUUUGGGAUGCAGCAGUGUGCUGCCCUAAAACACCUGAUCCCUUGUCCAUUGAAGAUGUGUGUCAGCAGAAGCAUGUAUUGAUAAUUGACCAUGGGCCUAAACUGUGGAGGAACUAUAUAUAAAACACAGAGUAUAUGGAGUGUAAUGUACUUGAUGAUAAUUUAAUGAUCUAAUUAUUAUUAUUAUGAUUUUCAUGUGUAGAUUGUUGACUUUAUUGUUGAUUUUAGCUGUAUGUACAGUGAUGACCUCAUAUAUCUGUAGGUUUGCUGAAAUCUGAAAUAAAAAAUGACACUAUAAUCAAACUGAAAACCUUUUGUACUGAAAUGAGGGCUGAUGCCUGCAGGAUGAUGAGUAGUUAAAAACAACAUUUUAUUUAUUUAUUUUCAUUAAGACACUUCAGUGUUGGUCUAUGUUUAAAAACAAUC
Molecule: long non-coding RNA, 1457 nt
Filed under: Mastacembelus armatus (zig-zag eel)
Lineage: Eukaryota; Metazoa; Chordata; Actinopteri; Synbranchiformes; Mastacembelidae
Description: lncRNA (ENSMAMG00000026650.1)
Source: RNAcentral